CCAAUAGCGUAUAUUAAAGUUGUUGCAGUUAAAAAGCUCGUAGUUGAAUUUCGGGAUUGGCGCAUCGGUCGUGCCUCACGGGGUAUGAACUGGUGCAGUCAAUUUCUCACCUUCUGGAGAACCGCGAUGUCCUUAAUUGGAUGCCGCGGGGAACCAGGACCUUUACUUUGAAAAAAUUAGAGUGUUUAAAGCAGGCAUUUUUGCUUGAAUACAUUAGCAUGGAAUAAUAAAAUAGGACGGCAUGGUUCUAUUUUGUUGGUUUCUAGGACAACCGUAAUGAUUAAUAGGGAUAGUUGGGGGCAUUAGUAUUCAAUUGUCAGAGGUGAAAUUCUUGGAUUUAUUGAAGACUAACUACUGCGAAAGCAUUUGCCAAGGAUGUUUUCAUUAAUCAAGAACGAAAGUUAGGGGAUCGAAGACGAUCAGAUACCGUCGUAGUCUUAACCAUAAACUAUGCCGACUAGGAAUCAGACGAUGUUAAUUUUUUAAUGACUCGUUUGGCACCUUACG
Molecule: ribosomal RNA, 507 nt
Filed under: uncultured Glomeromycotina
Lineage: Eukaryota; Fungi; Glomeromycota
Description: partial small subunit ribosomal RNA
Rfam family: Eukaryotic small subunit ribosomal RNA
Source: RNAcentral